CACGUAGGGGACGAGCGUUGUCCGGAUUUAUUGGGCGUAAAGAGCUCGUAGGCGGCUUGUCGCGUCGUCCGUGAAAACCCACAGCUCAACUGUGGGCUUGCGGUCGAUACGGGCAGGCUAGAGUUCGGUAGGGGAGACUGGAAUUCCUGGUGUAGCGGUGAAAUGCGCAGAUAUCAGGAGGAACACCGGUGGCGAAGGCGGGUCUCUGGGCCGAUACUGACGCUGAGGAGCGAAAGCGUGGGGAGCGAACAGG
This 253-nucleotide ribosomal RNA is filed under the name uncultured bacterium. RNAcentral's name for it is "partial 16S ribosomal RNA". It matches the Rfam family "Bacterial small subunit ribosomal RNA", at positions 524 to 776 of the family's 1533-position model. The record is from RNAcentral.